GAUGAACGCUGGCGGCGUGCCUAACACAUGCAAGUCGAACGGACGGACGAUAAGCUUGUGUCGUUCAUGUUAGCGGCUGGCGGGUGAGUAACACGUGGAUAACCUACUUAUUUUUCGGGGAGAAUUACGUAAAACCGGAUCUAAUACCAGAUAAUAUUUUGUACCGCAGGGUGCAAAGGUAAAUGGCGGCUUUGCUGUCUGUAAUAGACGGUUCCGCGCUGGAUUGGCUAGUGGGUAAGGUAACAGCCUACCAAGGCUACGAGGCGUAGCCGAGGUGAGGGGAUGAUCGGCCACACUGGAACUGAGACACGGUCCAGACUCCUACGGGAGGCAGCAGUAGGGAAUAUUGGGCAAUGGGCGAAAGCCUGACGCAGCAACACCGCGUGAGUGAUGAAGGCCUUCGGAUCGUAAAGCCCUGUUAUUGGGAAAGAAAAGCUGUGUACUUAAACGCGGCCUUAUUGACGGUACCUAAUGAAAAAGCACCGGCUAACUACGUG
RNAcentral lists this ribosomal RNA (497 nucleotides) under uncultured bacterium. RNAcentral describes it as "partial 16S ribosomal RNA". It matches the Rfam family "Bacterial small subunit ribosomal RNA", at positions 28 to 507 of the family's 1533-position model. The record is from RNAcentral.